GACGAACGCUGGCGGCGUGCUUAACACAUGCAAGUCGAACGGAAAGGCCCUGCUUUUGUGGGGUGCUCGAGUGGCGAACGGGUGAGUAACACGUGAGUAACCUGCCCUUGACUUUGGGAUAACUUCAGGAAACUGGGGCUAAUACCGGCUAGGAGCUCCUGCUGCAUGGUGGGGGUUGGAAAGUUUCGGCGGUUGGGGAUGGACUCGCGGCUUAUCAGCUUGUUGGUGGGGUAGUGGCUUACCAAGGCUUUGACGGGUAGCAGGCCUGAGAGGGUGACCGGCCACAUUGGGAUUGAGAUGCGGCCCAGACUCCUACGGGAGGCAGCAGUGGGGAAUAUUGCACAAUGGGCGGAAGCCUGAUGCAGCAACGCCGCGUGCGGGAUGACGGCCUUCGGGUUGUAAACCGCUUUCGCCUGUGACGAAGCGUGAGUGACGGUAAUGGGUAAAGAAGCACCGGCUAACUACGUG
Molecule: ribosomal RNA, 468 nt
Filed under: uncultured bacterium
Lineage: Bacteria
Description: partial 16S ribosomal RNA
Rfam family: Bacterial small subunit ribosomal RNA
Source: RNAcentral